GUAGGUGGCAAGCGUUGUCCGGAAUUAUUGGGCGUAAAGCGCGCGCAGGCGGUUCGUUAAGUCUGAUGUGAAAGCCCACGGCUCAACCGUGGAGGGUCAUUGGAAACUGGAGAACUUGAGUACAGAAGAGGAAAGCGGAAUUCCACGUGUAGCGGUGAAAUGCGUAGAGAUGUGGAGGAACACCAGUGGCGAAGGCGGCUCUCUGGUCUGUAACUGACGCUGAGGCGCGAAAGCGUGGGGAGCAAACAGGAUUAGAUACCCUGGUAGUCCACGCCGUAAACGAUGAGUGCUAAGUGUUAGGGGGUUUUCCGCCCCCCUUAGUGCUGCAGCUAACGCAUUAAGCACUCCGCCUGGGAGUACGGCCGCAAGGCUG
This 373-nucleotide ribosomal RNA is filed under the name uncultured organism. RNAcentral describes it as "partial 16S ribosomal RNA". It matches the Rfam family "Bacterial small subunit ribosomal RNA", at positions 527 to 896 of the family's 1533-position model. The record is from RNAcentral.